GCCUCUGUAGCUCAGUUGGUUAGAGCGCUGCACCGGAAUCGCAGGGCCGUAGGUUCAAUUCCUACCAGUGGACA
RNAcentral lists this transfer RNA (74 nucleotides) under Paramuricea clavata. RNAcentral's name for it is "tRNA-Ser". It matches the Rfam family "tRNA". Rfam says of the family: Transfer RNA (tRNA) molecules are approximately 80 nucleotides in length. The record is from RNAcentral. Lineage: Eukaryota; Metazoa; Cnidaria; Anthozoa; Malacalcyonacea; Plexauridae.